Molecule: long non-coding RNA, 741 nt
Organism: Neofelis nebulosa (Clouded leopard)
Lineage: Eukaryota; Metazoa; Chordata; Mammalia; Carnivora; Felidae
Exons: 2
Source: RefSeq, a predicted model, not a curated record
GAUAAUGAGUGUAAUUCAAAGCGUGGGAGAAGAAGGGAGAGGGAGAAAGGAAAAUAGGAUGAAACUCACUGAUGGCUGUAUGGGUGCCUCUCCUCUCCAAAUUCACUCUUAACGGACUGCUCUGUGAAAAUACGCUGGGGCCAUUUAAAUCUGGGUCUUUGCCGGCUGGCUCACUCUUAAGCUUGCCAGCAGAGGGCGCAGAGGAGCCAGGGCAGAAGGAAGUUUUCUUUCCACCUUCUGAAGGUCUCACUAGACCGUCUCCUGAAGCUUCUCCAGGACCCGUGGCUCCUCAAGCAUGAAGCAUCCAGGGCACCCAUGGCUCUGCUGGCACCAGCCUCCUCUAGCGCCCGACAGCCAGCCGUUAGCAGCUUCCCAGCACCUCCCCUUGGACUGUUUUGGCGCAAAGUAUCUCCACUGAGACACCUGCCCAUCGACAGCCUUCUGUGGCACCCUACAGAAUGGUUUUCCAGCAAGUUGCACCUGCACCACAGUUGACUUCGCUAACACCCUGUGAGCCACAGUCAUGCUCUGUCCAACCAGAUCUGGAUCUCAGACCUAUGCGUGGGAAGAGAGAGCUAAAGAGUGCCAGCGGGGGAAGGGCAGAGAGAGGAGGGGACAGAGGAUCCGAAGCAGGCUCCACGUUGUCAGCACAGAGCCCGCUGCAGGGCUCGAACUCCCAAACUAUGAGAUCCUGACCUGAGCCGAAGUUGGACGCUUAACUGACUGAGACACCCAGGCACC